CAGUAGCCGCGGUAAUACAGAGGGUGCGAGCGUUAAUCGGAUUUACUGGGCGUAAAGCGUGCGUAGGCGGCUAAUUGAGUCGGAUGUGAAAUCCCCGAGCUUAACUUGGGAAUUGCAUUCGAUACUGGUUAGCUAGAGUGUGGGAGAGGAUGGUAGAAUUCCAGGUGUAGCGGUGAAAUGCGUAGAGAUCUGGAGGAAUACCGAUGGCGAAGGCAGCCAUCUGGCCUAUCACUGACGCUGAGGUACGAAAGCAUGGGGAGCAAACAGGAUUAGAUACCCCGGUAGUCCCUGUCUCUUAUAA
This 301-nucleotide ribosomal RNA is filed under the name uncultured bacterium. Its description in RNAcentral is "partial 16S ribosomal RNA". It matches the Rfam family "Bacterial small subunit ribosomal RNA", at positions 509 to 809 of the family's 1533-position model. The record is from RNAcentral.